Molecule: ribosomal RNA, 1440 nt
Filed under: uncultured organism
Description: 16S ribosomal RNA
Rfam family: Bacterial small subunit ribosomal RNA
Source: RNAcentral
CAGGCUUAACACAUGCAAGUCGAGGGGCAGCAUGGUCUUAGCUUGCUAAGGCCGAUGGCGACCGGCGCACGGGUGAGUAACACGUAUCCAACCUGCCGUCUACUCUUGGACAGCCUUCUGAAAGGAAGAUUAAUACAAGAUGGCAUCAUGAGUCCGCAUGUUCACAUGAUUAAAGGUAUUCCGGUAGACGAUGGGGAUGCGUUCCAUUAGAUAGUAGGCGGGGUAACGGCCCACCUAGUCUUCGAUGGAUAGGGGUUCUGAGAGGAAGGUCCCCCACAUUGGAACUGAGACACGGUCCAAACUCCUACGGGAGGCAGCAGUGAGGAAUAUUGGUCAAUGGGCGAGAGCCUGAACCAGCCAAGUAGCGUGAAGGAUGACUGCCCUAUGGGUUGUAAACUUCUUUUAUAAAGGAAUAAAGUCGGGUAUGGAUACCCGUUUGCAUGUACUUUAUGAAUAAGGAUCGGCUAACUCCGUGCCAGCAGCCGCGGUAAUACGGAGGAUCCGAGCGUUAUCCGGAUUUAUUGGGUUUAAAGGGAGCGUAGAUGGAUGUUUAAGUCAGUUGUGAAAGUUUGCGGCUCAACCGUAAAAUUGCAGUUGAUACUGGAUAUCUUGAGUGCAGUUGAGGCAGGCGGAAUUCGUGGUGUAGCGGUGAAAUGCUUAGAUAUCACGAAGAACUCCGAUUGCGAAGGCAGCCUGCUAAGCUGCAACUGACAUUGAGGCUCGAAAGUGUGGGUAUCAAACAGGAUUAGAUACCCUGGUAGUCCACACGGUAAACGAUGAAUACUCGCUGUUUGCGAUAUACUGCAAGCGGCCAAGCGAAAGCGUUAAGUAUUCCACCUGGGGAGUACGCCGGCAACGGUGAAACUCAAAGGAAUUGACGGGGGCCCGCACAAGCGGAGGAACAUGUGGUCUAAUUCGAUGAUACGCGAGGAACCUUACCCGGGCUUAAAUUGCAGAUGAAUUACGGUGAAAGCCGUAAGCCGCAAGGCAUCUGUGAAGGUGCUGCAUGGUUGUCGUCAGCUCGUGCCGUGAGGUGUCGGCUUAAGUGCCAUAACGAGCGCAACCCUUGUUGUCAGUUACUAACAGGUUCCGCUGAGGACUCUGACAAGACUGCCAUCGUAAGAUGUGAGGAAGGUGGGGAUGACGUCAAAUCAGCACGGCCCUUACGUCCGGGGCUACACACGUGUUACAAUGGGGGGUACAGAGGGCCGCUACCACGCGAGUGGAUGCCAAUCCCCAAAACCUCUCUCAGUUCGGACUGGAGUCUGCAACCCGACUCCACGAAGCUGGAUUCGCUAGUAAUCGCGCAUCAGCCACGGCGCGGUGAAUACGUUCCCGGGCCUUGUACACACCGCCCGUCAAGCCAUGGGAGCCGGGGGUACCUGAAGUGCGUAACCGCGAGGAGCGCCCUAGGGUAAAACUGGUGACUGGGGCUAAGUC